This is a long non-coding RNA of Chinchilla lanigera (long-tailed chinchilla), 2002 nucleotides long. RefSeq lists it as uncharacterized. Lineage: Eukaryota; Metazoa; Chordata; Mammalia; Rodentia; Chinchillidae. The transcript is spliced from 2 exons. The record is from RefSeq and is a predicted model, not a curated record.
AGCUGGGGUUACAGGUGAGUGUCACCAUACCCCACGGUAACUUGUGUCUGAAUGAAGUUCAUCUGCUUUACAGGUGCUGUGGUCACACCCUGGGCCUCCUCCUGCUGAGUGUGUGCUGCGCAUCUGUCCCCAGAACCCGUGGGAUUUGCCUGGCACGAUUUUCUCCGCAGGCUCAUGCAGCCUUCGUGUUGGCACUAGGUGCCCUUCUGCGUUGUGUGUGGGCGUUUCAGCAGCAAAAUUACCAGGCAGAAGCACCCAGAGGCGGGAGCAGGGCCCUGCACAGACAGGGAAGAUGUUCCGGGACGUUGCAAGCGCUGGCUGUGAAUGUCACGACAGACACGCUGUUGCAUGUGCUCUUGUUUGUGGCGGAGAGGAUAAUUGUGGAGUUCUCCUCCAGCAAGGUUCCCUGGGCAGGAGACAGCUCUAGGAUUGGCAUCUAGCUUUUCGCUAAAGUCUGCAGUAUGGCACAUUUCCACGAAGGUCACUCAACAUAAGCUCCCAAACAUCUUCCUGGGACGUCACUCUGCAGUGGCCAAGCCAUACACACCCAGCCCCGUCGCCCUGGGGACCGUGACCACGCAGCGGCGAACCAGUGCUCCCGCUGUUCACAGGGGAGACAGGCUCGUGCCCCGAUCUAUGGAGUCUCGUUGCCCAACUCCUUUAUUCACUUGCUCACAACUUUCUGCCAAAUUCUUUGAGGCUGAAACCUUUCUUGCCUGGUACUGGGCCAUGCCUGCCCAAAGGUAAAUUUUUCUGGAGCGUUCCUGCCAGAGCUCUCAGGCCUUUGAGUCAAGGAAAAAAGGAAUUUUUCAUUUAAAGAGGUUGGCUGUGUUCGACCACACCCAAAGCUUAGUCUGGUUACUGAGAGAUCUUUCUGUCUCUGUCUCUGUCUUUGUCUCACGCACACACACACAUACACACACAAACAUUUGAACCCACUCUCACAGCCAGUAUACACUCUCAUAAGCAGAUACACACACACCUGAUCCACAACAUACAUACACACUCACUUUUAUGCAAUAGAUACACUAACACUUAAACACAUUCUGUAUACCAGUCCAUUCCUGUAUAUACCAGCACUUAAAUGCUGCACACUGACACAUUCCCAUAAUCGAUAUACACUCACACAAUUUACACACACCCACAAGCUGCACACAUUAGACCUACACACUUAUGCACUCAGAUACAUGCAAACACACCGGUGCCGGCACACCCAGCAGACACUCACCCCACACUCUCACACACACGCUCUUGUAACUCAGUGUGUACACACAGGGCCCAGACUCAGGCGUGGAGACAUACGCAGGACCUCCACGCUCAGGCUGGGCCGGGGAGACCAAGUGAGUCCACUUUCUCCAUGGGGAUAAAGAUGCUGUCUGUGUGGUCUGUGUGCCAGGAGCGGCGGCCAGAGGAGCAGGUGGCCUCUGGGACCGGACUGCGGGAUUUCUCGGCACGUGCAAACACACCAUGGGGCUGGGACUUGCGGAUGAGGGGUGUGAAGCAGCACGGGAGAGGGGCCGGGCACUGACGGCACACUGAGAGCGGCUGCAGGGGGGAAGCCUGGCCUGGCUGUGUCCCUUGCAGCAUCCAUUUCUUGGGGCGACAUGCGCAUUGUCCACUGUGAGGACGCGAGGCCAGCUCAUCCCGCUCCCCUCACCAAGGCCUUGCUUCUUUCUAAUACUGUAGGAAGUGGCCACCCAGAGCUGGUGGAGGGCAAAGGUGUGUGGCACUCCAGCCAGCACCCCCAACCUGCCCAAGCACCCAGGGAGCUGCUAUCAGAGCUGCCCUCAGCAGCAGCCUUUCCCCAGCACCCAGAAAAAAUGGUGCUGGCCUGGUGAUCGGCUGCCUCCUGGGGGCCAGGGAGCCCCUACAAAAGCCAUGGUGCAGCCGGGCUGCUUUUCCUUCCCACUCCUCCUAUUUCCCUUUCCUUCUUUAGCAGCUCUUUCUUUAGCCUGACGCAGUCUCCAGAAGGCCCCUAAUAAACAGUUGGACACAAACAUCA